CGCGCGAGGACACGGUGGAUUUACAGCGGCUCCCGCGCGGAGCUGCGCGAGGAGGGACGAGGAGAAUGAAGGAGAGAAGAACAGAGGACAUUAACACCAGACCAACUUCCACCAGACACUGACACUUGAGGGGGGGAAAAAGCCGACAGCACUCACAAAAGACAAAGACAAUGCGCCGAGGAAAGAGACCCCGCUGUCCAGAAGUGUGUGUGGAUGACAUGAGCACUCGGUCGCCGACUCUUCAGAAUGGGCCACGCCGAGAAGGGCGAGUUCUCUUCUCCACUCACUCCUCGUGACACCAGAGGGGCUGAAGCCGAGAAUCAUGGGAGUUGUAGUCCAUUUGGUGGUGAUCGUCUGGGCUUCGCUUGGUUGGUCCAGGGCCGCAGAGAAGCCCCCAUCUUUGAGCGUGGCGGUGAUCCUGGGCCAGACGCGGG
Long non-coding RNA from Colossoma macropomum (tambaqui), 434 nucleotides. RefSeq lists it as uncharacterized. NCBI's taxonomy places the organism in Eukaryota, Metazoa, Chordata, Actinopteri, Characiformes, Serrasalmidae. The record is from RefSeq and is a predicted model, not a curated record. The transcript is spliced from 3 exons.